Molecule: ribosomal RNA, 1201 nt
Filed under: Candidatus Phytoplasma australasiaticum
Lineage: Bacteria; Bacillati; Mycoplasmatota; Mollicutes; Acholeplasmatales; Acholeplasmataceae
Description: bacterial SSU rRNA
Rfam family: Bacterial small subunit ribosomal RNA
Source: RNAcentral
AUAGGAAGAUAAAAGGCAUCUUUUAUCUUUUUAAAGACCUAGUAUAGGUAUGCUUUAGGAGGGGCUUGCGCCAUAUUAGUUAGUUGGUAGGGUAAUGGCCUACCAAGACGAUGAUGUGUAGCUGGACUGAGAGGUUGAACAGCCACAUUGGGACUGAGACACGGCCCAAACUCCUACGGGAGGCAGCAGUAGGGAAUUUUCGGCAAUGGAGGAAACUCUGACCGAGCAACGCCGCGUGAAUGACGAAGUACUUCGGUAUGUAAAGUUCUUUUAUCAAGGAAGAAAAGCAAAUGGCGAACCAUUUGUUUGCCGGUACUUGAUGAAUAAGCCCCGGCUAAUUAUGUGCCAGCAGCCGCGGUAAGACAUAAGGGGCAAGUGUUAUCCGGAAUUAUUGGGCGUAAAGGGUGCGUAGGCGGUCUAGUAAGUCAGUGGUGUAAUGGCAACGCUUAACGUUGUCCGGCUAUUGAAACUGCUAAACUUGAGUUAGAUAGAGGCGAGUGGAAUUCCAUGUGUAGCGGUAAAAUGCGUAAAUAUAUGGAGGAACACCAGAGGCGUAGGCGGCUCGCUGGGUCUUAACUGACGCUGAGGCACGAAAGCGUGGGGAGCAAACAGGAUUAGAUACCCUGGUAGUCCACGCCGUAAACGAUGAGUACUAAGUGUCGGGUUAAACCGGUACUGAAGUUAACACAUUAAGUACUCCGCCUGAGUAGUACGUACGCAAGUAUGAAACUUAAAGGAAUUGACGGGACUCCGCACAAGCGGUGGAUCAUGUUGUUUAAUUCGAAGAUACCCGAAAAACCUUACCAGGUCUUGACAUGUUUUUGCAAAAUGAUAGUAAUAUCGUGGAGGUUACCAGAAACACAGGUGGUGCAUGGUUGUCGUCAGCUCGUGUCGUGAGAUGUUAGGUUAAGUCCUAAAACGAGCGAAACCCUUAUCGUUAGUUGCCAGCACGUUAUGGUGGGGACUUUAACGAGACUGCCAAUGAUAAAUUGGAGGAAGGUGAGGAUCACGUCAAAUCAGCAUGCCCCUUAUGACCUGGGCUACAAACGUGAUACAAUGGCUGUUACAAAGGGUAGCUGAAACGCAAGUUCUUGGCCAAUCCCCAAAAACAGUCCCAGUCCGGAUUGAAGUCUGCAACUCGACUUCAUGAAGUUGGAAUCGCUAGUAAUCGCGAAUCAGCAUGUCGCGGUGAAUACGUUCU